GUUAUAGUUCCAUUGAAGAAGUGAAAAAUGCUUACGAGAAACUGUCUUCCAAGUGGAAUUCAGGCAGCGAGGUUCCUACUGCUGCUAAUUUUUUAGAGAUUCAAUAUGCUUACGAGUUGUUGACGAAUCCUUUGUGGAAAAGGGACUACGACAUUUUUGGCAUUGAUGAGCAACUUCUUGCUCUUGACAAGUUCAAAGAGCAAUAUGCUGGGGAAAGCUUUUCACGCAUUGGACUUCCCUUACUAGAAGCUACAUAUUCUGAUCCUGGAGAUCAUGCUCUUACUGUUGUUACAUCUGAGAACUUCGGGUCUAUGUUUACUAAUUCUAAGACAUGGCUCAUUGAGAUAUAUUCAGAUGGGAGCAGCCGCAGUGCUCAAUUCUUUAAUUCUUGGAAAGAAAUCACUUCUUUAUUGGAAGGGGUUGCAAACACUGGUAUGGUGGAACUUGGCGAUGUGCAACUUACAACGUCCCUUGCUGAGAGAAAACCAACAGGGCAUUUCUUCUUUAGGAAUGGGCUUCCUUCACUAGUGGCUUUUCCACCGGGGUGUAGAACUUCAGAUUGUC
Molecule: unclassified non-coding RNA, 564 nt
Filed under: Hevea brasiliensis (rubber tree)
Lineage: Eukaryota; Viridiplantae; Streptophyta; Magnoliopsida; Malpighiales; Euphorbiaceae
Source: RNAcentral